RNAcentral lists this ribosomal RNA (484 nucleotides) under uncultured bacterium. Its description in RNAcentral is "partial 16S ribosomal RNA". It matches the Rfam family "Bacterial small subunit ribosomal RNA", at positions 30 to 507 of the family's 1533-position model. The record is from RNAcentral.
AUUGAACGCUGGCGGCAGGCCUAACACAUGCAAGUCGAGCGGAUGAAGGGAGCUUGCUCCUGGAUUCAGCGGCGGACGGGUGAGUAAUGCCUAGGAAUCUGCCUGGUAGUGGGGGAUAACGUCCGGAAACGGGCGCUAAUACCGCAUACGUCCUGAGGGAGAAAGUGGGGGAUCUUCGGACCUCACGCUAUCAGAUGAGCCUAGGUCGGAUUAGCUAGUUGGUGGGGUAAAGGCCUACCAAGGCGACGAUCCGUAACUGGUCUGAGAGGAUGAUCAGUCACACUGGAACUGAGAAACGGUCCAGACUCCUAAGGGAGGCAGCAGUGGGGAAUAUUUGACAAUGGGCGAAAGCCUGAUCCAGCCAUGCCGCGUGUGUGAAGAAGGUCUUCGGAUUGUAAAGCACUUUAAGUUGGGAGGAAGGGCAGUAAGUUAAUACCUUGCUGUUUUGACGUUACCAACAGAAUAAGCACCGGCUAACUUCGUG